UAGGGAAUCUUCGGCAAUGGACGGAAGUCUGACCGAGCAACGCCGCGUGAGUGAAGAAGGUUUUCGGAUCGUAAAGCUCUGUUGUAAGAGAAGAACGAGUGUGAGAGUGGAAAGUUCACACUGUGACGGUAUCUUACCAGAAAGGGACGGCUAACUACGUGCCAGCAGCCGCGGUAAUACCGUAGGUCCCGAGCGUUGUCCGGAUUUAUUGGGCGUAAAGCGAGCGCAGGCGGUUAGAUAAGUCUGAAGUUAAAGGCUGUGGCUUAACCAUAGUACGCUUUGGAAACUGUUUAACUUGAGUGCAAGAGGGGAGAGUGGAAUUCCAUGUGGNGCGGUGAAAUGCGUAGAUAUAUGGAGGAACACCGGUGGCGAAAGCGGCUCUCUGGCUUGUAACUGACGCUGAGGCUCGAAAGCGUGGGGAGCAAACAGGAUUAGAUACCCUGGUAGUCCACGCCGUAAACGAUGAGUGCUAGGUGUUAGACCCUUUCCGGGGUUUAGUGCCGCAGCUAACGCAUUAAGCACUCCGCCUGGGGAGUACGACCGCAAGGUUG
RNAcentral lists this ribosomal RNA (551 nucleotides) under uncultured bacterium. RNAcentral describes it as "bacterial SSU rRNA". It matches the Rfam family "Bacterial small subunit ribosomal RNA", at positions 355 to 896 of the family's 1533-position model. The record is from RNAcentral.